RNAcentral lists this ribosomal RNA (465 nucleotides) under uncultured bacterium. RNAcentral describes it as "partial 16S ribosomal RNA". It matches the Rfam family "Bacterial small subunit ribosomal RNA", at positions 28 to 507 of the family's 1533-position model. The record is from RNAcentral.
GACGAACGCUGGCGGCGUGCUUAACACAUGCAAGUCGAACGGAAAGGCCCUGCUUGCAGGGUACUCGAGUGGCGAACGGGUGAGUAACACGUGGGUGAUCUGCCCUGCACUUCGGGAUAAGCCUGGGAAACUGGGUCUAAUACCGGAUAGGAGCCAUAUUUAGUGUGAUGGUUGGAAAGUUUUUUCGGUGUAGGAUGAGCUCGCGGCCUAUCAGCUUGUUGGUGGGGUAAUGGCCUACCAAGGCGGCGGCGGGUAGCCGGCCUGAGAGGGUGGACGGCCACAUUGGCACUGAGGGACGGCCCAGACUCCUACGGGAGGCAGCAGUGGGGAAUAUUGCACAAUGGGCGCAAGCCUGAUGCAGCGGCGCCGCGUGGGGGAUGACGGCCUUCGGGUUGUAAACUCCUUUCGCUAGGGACGAAGCUUUUUGUGACGGUACCUAGAUAAGAAGCACCGGCUAACUACGUG